RNAcentral lists this unclassified non-coding RNA (432 nucleotides) under soil metagenome. Its description in RNAcentral is "partial contains 5.8S ribosomal RNA, internal transcribed spacer 2, and large subunit ribosomal RNA". The stretch from base 1 to 120 matches the Rfam family "5.8S ribosomal RNA", at positions 35 to 154 of the family's 154-position model. The record is from RNAcentral.
GAUGAAGAACGUAGUAAAAUGCGAUACGUAAUGUGAAUUGCAGAAUUCAGUGAAUCAUCGAAUCUUUGAACGCAUAUUGCGCUCUCUGGUAUUCCGGAGAGCAUGCUUGUUUGAGUAUCAGUAAACACCUCAACUUCCAUAUCUUUUUUGAAAUGGGAGUUGGACUUGAGUGAUCCCAACGCUUUUCCUCACCGAAAAGUGGCGGGUUACUUGAAAUGCAGGUGCAGCUGGACUUUUCUCUGAGCUAUAAGCAUAUCUAUUUAGUCUGCCUAAAAACAGAUUAUUACCUUUGCUGCAGCUAACAUAAAGGAGAUUAGUUCUUGUGCUGACUGAUGCAGGAUUCACAAAGACAGGCUUCGGCCGACUUUGUAAACUCGAUCUCAAAUCAAGUAAGACUACCCGCUGAACUUAAGCAUAUCAAUAAGCGGAGGA